This 226-nucleotide ribosomal RNA is filed under the name uncultured bacterium. RNAcentral describes it as "partial 16S ribosomal RNA". It matches the Rfam family "Bacterial small subunit ribosomal RNA", at positions 106 to 334 of the family's 1533-position model. The record is from RNAcentral.
CGGAGUAAUGUCUGGGAACUGCCUGAUGGAGGGGGAUAACGUACUGGAAACGGUAGCUAAUACCGCAUAACGUCGCAAGACCAAAGUGGGGGACCUUCGGGGCCUCAUGCCAUCAGAUGUGCCCAGAUGGGAUUAGCUAGUAGGUGGGGUAACGGCUCACCUAGGCGACGAUCCCUAGCUGGUCUGAGAGGAUGACCAGCCACACUGGAACUGAGACACGGUCCAG